GAUGAACGCUGGCGGCGUGCCUAAUACAUGCAAGUCGAACGGUAAGGCUUUCACAGUUCGCAUCUCUCCCGCUUGGUUUUAUAAACAGCAGGGCAAGCAGGUGCGAAGCGUGAAAGUACACGAGUGGCGGACGGCAGAGUAACGCGUAGGAAUGUACCCCAAAGUGAGGGAUAACUGCUCGAAAGAGUAGCUAAUACCGCAUGUGGUCUUCGGAUUAAAGCUUCGGCGCUUUGGGAACAGCCUGCGUAAGAUUAGCUAGUUGGUAGUGUAAUGGACUACCAAGGCGACGAUCUUUAGCUGGUCUGAGAGGAUGAUCAGCCUGACUGGAACUGAGACACGGUCCAGACUCCUACGGGAGGCAGCAGUAGGGAAUUUUCCACAAUGGGGGCGAACCCUGAUGGAGCAACGCCGCGUGCAGGAUGAAGGUUUUCGGAUCGUAAACUGCUUUUAUUUGUGACGAUUAUGACAGUAGCAAAUGAAUAA
This 483-nucleotide ribosomal RNA is filed under the name uncultured bacterium. Its description in RNAcentral is "bacterial SSU rRNA". It matches the Rfam family "Bacterial small subunit ribosomal RNA", at positions 28 to 489 of the family's 1533-position model. The record is from RNAcentral.